Molecule: ribosomal RNA, 496 nt
Filed under: uncultured bacterium
Lineage: Bacteria
Description: bacterial SSU rRNA
Rfam family: Bacterial small subunit ribosomal RNA
Source: RNAcentral
GAUGAACGCUGGCGGCGUGCUUUAACACAUGCAAGUCGAACGGGAAACAUUUUAUUGAAGCUUCGGCAGAUUUUAGUUUGUUUUCCAGUGGCGGACGGGUGAGUAAACACGUGGAUAAUCUGCCUCUCAGUCCGGGAUAGCACAUGGAAACAUGUGAUAAUACCGGAUACGAUGUGCCUGUCACAUGGCGGGUGCAGGAAAGGUCCUGCGGGAUCGCUGGGAGAUGAGUCCGCGGCCCAUUAGCUUGUUGGCGGGGUAAAGGCCCACCAAGGCGACGAUGGGUAGCCGGCCUGAGAGGGUGGACGGCCACAUUGGGACUGAGACACGGCCCAGACUCCUACGGGAGGCAGCAGCUAAGAAUCUUCCACAAUGGACGAAAGUCUGAUGGAGCGACGCCGCGUGAACGAUGAAGGCCGUAAGGUUGUAAAGUUCUUUUUGGUAGGAAGAAUAAGGCGGGCAGGGAAUGGCCUGCCGAUGACGUGAAUUCCAGAAUAAG